RNAcentral lists this non-coding RNA (65 nucleotides) under uncultured Desulfovibrio sp. Lineage: Bacteria; Pseudomonadati; Thermodesulfobacteriota; Desulfovibrionia; Desulfovibrionales; Desulfovibrionaceae. The record is from RNAcentral.
UGCGAAACGGCCCCGCGCGGGGCCGUCGCCGGGGCGUGGCGGCCCCGGCCUGACGAGCAGCCAAA